RNAcentral lists this ribosomal RNA (427 nucleotides) under uncultured soil bacterium. RNAcentral describes it as "bacterial SSU rRNA". It matches the Rfam family "Bacterial small subunit ribosomal RNA", at positions 355 to 774 of the family's 1533-position model. The record is from RNAcentral.
UGGGGAAUUUUGGACAAUGGGCGCAAGCCUGAUCCAGCCAUUCCGCGUGCAGGAUGAAGGCCCUCGGGUUGUAAACUGCUUUUGUACGGAACGAAACGGCGCUCUCUAAUACAGAGCGCUAAUGACGGUACCGUAAGAAUAAGCACCGGCUAACUACGUGCCAGCAGCCGCGGUAAUACGUAGGGUGCAAGCGUUAAUCGGAAUUACUGGGCGUAAAGCGUGCGCAGGCGGUGAUGUAAGACAGAUGUGAAAUCCCCGGGCUCAACCUGGGAACUGCAUUUGUGACUGCAUCGCUGGAGUGCGGCAGAGGGGGAUGGAAUUCCGCGUGUAGCAGUGAAAUGCGUAGAUAUGCGGAGGAACACCGAUGGCGAAGGCAAUCCCCUGGGCCUGCACUGACGCUCAUGCACGAAAGCGUGGGGAGCAAACA